AUUCCUGCGGAAGGAUCAUUAUUAAAAAAAUUAAUGGAGUGCACUUUAUUGUGGCUUCAAUUCUUUUUUUUUUUCUUCACCCUUACAAAACCCAAAACUGUUAUGUGUACCUUUUGGUAUAGCAUUCCAGUAGUACGCAUCAUGUGGAUUUAUUCACAAGUUGCAUUAACAACCUUUAUAAGUGACCUUUUUAACUAUAUGAUGUUUUAGGAAUGUAAACCCCCUUAAGUUAUAUAUAACUUUUAACAAUGGAUCUCUUGGCUCUCACAUCGAUGAAGAACACAGUGAAAUGUGAUAAGUAAUGUGAAUUGCAGAAUUCAGUGAAUCAUCGAAUCUUUGAACGCACCUUGCACCUUUUGGUUAUUCCAAAAGGUACGCCUGUUUGAGUGUCAUGAAAACCUCUCAUUCCAAUUCUUAUUAUUAUAUAUAAGGGUUGUGAUAUGGAUGUUGAGUGCUGCCGUAAUUUGGCUCACUUUAAAUAUAUAAGUACUUUUAUUGAAGAAAUAAAUGGAUAUUUACUCAGUGUAAUAUUAACUAUUCAUUGAGGAGUGUCUCAUAGUCAUUUACUUGACUUUGUGCAGCCAUUUGACCCUUUAAUAAAUAGCUUCCUAACCGUACAUUUACAUUUAUUAUUUGGACCUCAAAUCAGGUGGGACUACCCGCUGAACUUAAAU
Molecule: ribosomal RNA, 674 nt
Filed under: Coleosporium cimicifugatum
Lineage: Eukaryota; Fungi; Basidiomycota; Pucciniomycetes; Pucciniales; Coleosporiaceae
Description: eukaryotic LSU rRNA
Rfam family: 5.8S ribosomal RNA (bases 238-392)
Source: RNAcentral